This is a non-coding RNA of Chiloscyllium plagiosum (whitespotted bambooshark), 411 nucleotides long. The record is from RefSeq and is a predicted model, not a curated record. Lineage: Eukaryota; Metazoa; Chordata; Chondrichthyes; Orectolobiformes; Hemiscylliidae.
GGCAGUUUCAGAGUGGAUACUGUUUGUAUUACAGCUCAGCCUGAUUCCUGUACCUAUGCCAGCAUCGUGUUUGACAGCAAUAGAAAAGUUCAAGGUGGCAAGACUCUCCGGGUUGCUGAUUCAGAAGAGACGGAUGUAACCUAUGCAGCUGUGGUGAAGACUCAUUAGGAGUGAAUAAGAACUGAACCUGUGUCACUGAGGUUGCAUUGUAUCUCAGAUCAAAUUCAAGGAACGUCAUGGAACUUACCAGCUCAGAAACUUGGCAUUAUUAUUCUUCAAAAUUGUUUUUAAAAUUUUUUUUAAAAUUUGUGCCUUUUUAUCUUAGUGUAUUUUUAAUUGUGGACUGAAACGCAUCAGAAUUGUUGAAAACCAAGGAUUGUUUAAGGGAUACUGCACACUUUUGAAAGCAAG